RNAcentral lists this ribosomal RNA (496 nucleotides) under uncultured bacterium. RNAcentral describes it as "partial 16S ribosomal RNA". It matches the Rfam family "Bacterial small subunit ribosomal RNA", at positions 29 to 507 of the family's 1533-position model. The record is from RNAcentral.
AUGAACGCUGGCGGCGUGCCUAAUACAUGCAAGUCGAGCGAACAGAUGAGGAGCUUGCUCCUCUGACGUUAGCGGCGGACGGGUGAGUAACACGUGGAUAACCUACCUAUAAGACUGGGAUAACUUCGUGAAACCGGAGCUAAUACCGGAUAAUAUAUUGAACCGCAUGGUUCAAUAGUGAAAGACGGUUUUGCUGUCACUUAUAGAUGGAUCCGCGCCGCAUUAGCUAGUUGGUAAGGUAACGGCUUACCAAGGCGACGAUGCGUAGCCGACCUGAGAGGGUGAUCGGCCACACUGGAACUGAGACACGGUCCAGACUCCUACGGGAGGCAGCAGUAGGGAAUCUUCCGCAAUGGGCGAAAGCCUGACGGAGCAACGCCGCGUGAGUGAUGUAGGUCUUCGGAUCGUAAAACUCUGUUAUUAGGGAAGAACAAAUGUGUAAGUAACUAUGCACGUCUUGACGGUACCUAAUCAGAAAGCCACGGCUAACUACGUG